Molecule: long non-coding RNA, 1646 nt
Filed under: Amphibalanus amphitrite
Lineage: Eukaryota; Metazoa; Arthropoda; Thecostraca; Balanomorpha; Balanidae
Description: uncharacterized LOC122384590
Source: RNAcentral
CGGGGGGUACCCUCGCAAUACGGGUGAGUGGUGGUUCGGCUGUCCGGACAACCAGGGGUCCAUCCACCAGCAGCAGCCGGCCGCCAGCCAGCAGCGGGGAGACAUUUCGGCCGACGAGACAUACCGAGACACAGUUAUAGGGUACGGCGAGGGCGACACGCAGCCGCGGUACGGCGGCUCGGCGGGACUCACACGGCCGUCUGAGGUGCUCGCCAGCCUGCUGCCGCCGCUGCUGGCAGUUCUGGCAGCGAGGCAGCUCUGAGACGGCUGUAUGUGGGUGACACAGCAGCCUGCUGCUGCCGCUGCUGGCAGUCCUGGCAGCGAGGCAGCUCUGAGAAGGCUGUAUGUGGGUGACACUGCUACAGCCGCCACAGCUACCUCGGUACCAGCGCCGGCCGAAUGUAUCAGCAGCCCGCGACCGGCCGGACAGACGCAUACCCCCCGUGAUCCGUUCAGAAGCAGCUACUGCAGAGAACAACCGUCAGUCCUCGACAGGAUGAGCUACUGACCACAAAUUUCAACGGUUCAGGCGCUACAGGUUUCACCCAUCACCACCUGAGGGACAGUGCGUGUCCAUGUGACCUUCGAUGGGUUCUGACACCUCCUGCUGUGGUCACCGAGAUGAUGUUACCGGCGUGUUUUCCGCUAGUAUCCCCCGGCUAUAGGUCAGCACAGCCGCGGGCCGCCGGCAGCGACGGACCACUCGGAAAGCACGCGCCCGGGGCGGAGGAUGGCGCGCCGGGGACUGAGCCGCCCCGGGUCGGGGUCAGGGUCAGAGCGGGACGGUCAGAUACCGACCGAUCGGUGGUCAGGAUCCGGGAGUCCCAGGACGGCCGUGUCAAGGUCUGAAGGAGUCGGUCUGGAUAUCACUGGGGUACAUAAUGAUUAGGGCAAGUUGUUCGCAAAGCAGAACGGCGCGGUGUCAUUAUUCAUACAACGGGGUUAGCCCACGCACUUGGUCGGUGUGUUACGGCAGUGCUUGGUGGGCCUUGAGUUUCCGUAACUUGUGUUUCAUUUCAUGUUCUGUAUAAGUAUGCUGGGAACAGUUUUGCUCUGGAAUUUUAUGUUAUUUAUUUCAAGCGAUGGAGGCGCUCCUGUUUAGUCCUCAGCAGUUCAGCUAAAUGGCCAGGGAAGGGGAGCAGUCAGCACAGACUGACUGAGCCUGUUAUGUAUGCCUUAUAUAGUCGCACAGCUCUGUGAUAGCCAAGUGCCUCACCGUCGGACGUCCAGUGUUGUUUGUGCCGUAUGUGUAAAGUACACCUACAUAACGUGGCAGCGGACACGGUGCCUUGCUGUGUUGCAUUGAUACCCUUCCUAUUGAUGCAAAACACUAAAAUAUAAUGCGUGCGAUUAACGUCGGGUGCGAGGUUUGUGGCACAGUCGCCUGAGUCAUGCCCACCUGAAAUAAUUAAACAUUAUAUUUUGUUUAUACUGAUUGCAUUGCAGCUAUAAGUACGGCUAUCGCCUCGUUUAUACAUACUAAGCAAAUAGACAGACUGAUGCCAUUUCAGCUUGUAUACUGCUUCUGGUGUUAAGGCAUACAUGUGCGUACUUUAACCUAUUAUUACGUUAACCUGACGUGUUAAAAUGGUGAUGUUUGUUGUUAUGUCGAUUCACCAAAUAUAUUUAGUGUCAGUUACUACAAA